UUAAUUGUGAUUAUUUUACCUAAGACAGUAGGAGUUAUUUAUAACUUAAAACUCAUCCUACCGAGGCUAAAAUUGACUUGAACGUGAUGAUUAAUGAUCUUUCAAGCACUUUUUGCCGUGGGUAGAAAGUGCUUUUUUUAUUGCUAU
Molecule: small RNA, 147 nt
Filed under: Staphylococcus capitis
Lineage: Bacteria; Bacillati; Bacillota; Bacilli; Caryophanales; Staphylococcaceae
Description: L10_leader
Rfam family: Ribosomal protein L10 leader
About the family: This family is a putative r-protein leader autoregulatory structure found in B. subtilis and other low-GC Gram-positive bacteria. It is located in the 5' untranslated regions of mRNAs encoding ribosomal proteins L10 and L12 (rplJ-rplL).
Source: RNAcentral